This 438-nucleotide ribosomal RNA is filed under the name Verrucomicrobiaceae bacterium. RNAcentral describes it as "bacterial SSU rRNA". It matches the Rfam family "Bacterial small subunit ribosomal RNA", at positions 1 to 436 of the family's 1533-position model. Lineage: Bacteria; Pseudomonadati; Verrucomicrobiota; Verrucomicrobiia; Verrucomicrobiales; Verrucomicrobiaceae. The record is from RNAcentral.
UUUUUGGAGAGUUUGAUUCUGGCUCAGAACGAACGCUGGCGGCGUGGAUAAGACAUGCAAGUCGAACGGAAUAAAUGAGGUAGUAAUAUCUUGUUUGUUCAGUGGCGAACGGGUGCGUAACACGUGGAUACAUUCCGGGAAGCGGGGGAUAGCCCAGGGAAACUUGGAUUAAUACCGCAUGUGGUCGAAAGACUAAAGACGGGGAUCGAAAGACCUGUCACUUCCUGAUUGGUCCGCGGCCUAUCAGCUAGUUGGUGAGGUAAUGGCUCACCAAGGCUACGACGGGUAGCUGGUCUAAGAGGACGACCAGCCACACUGGAACUGAGACACGGUCCAGACACCUACGGGUGGCAGCAGUCGAGAAUCUUUCACAAUGGGGGCAACCCUGAUGGAGCGACGCCGCGUGGAGGAUAAGGUCUUCGGAUUGUAAACUCCUGU